This is a long non-coding RNA of Leguminivora glycinivorella, 237 nucleotides long. RefSeq lists it as uncharacterized. The record is from RefSeq and is a predicted model, not a curated record. The transcript is spliced from 2 exons. Lineage: Eukaryota; Metazoa; Arthropoda; Insecta; Lepidoptera; Tortricidae.
UUUUCCAUAGUUAACCGGUGCUAGCCGGUACUUCGGUACUGGCUCAGUAGGAUCAGCUCUCAACUCAGCCAGUAGCGUCCCCGGAGCUGCAUCUUCCCUCAGGAACAGCGCUGGAGGUGGAGGCUGGACCCUUGGGGCUCUUUCUCCUGGGCCGAGGAUGUAGACGGAGACGCCGGCGGAACCAGCUCGGUUGCCGCCGUCGCGAGCGCGAGCCCAGACCACGACGGACCGAGAUGC